Molecule: ribosomal RNA, 683 nt
Filed under: uncultured bacterium
Lineage: Bacteria
Description: bacterial SSU rRNA
Rfam family: Bacterial small subunit ribosomal RNA (bases 72-683)
Source: RNAcentral
UGGAAUUACCUAAGGUGUAGGGCGUAUCCGAUCACCAUCAUGAGCCAGCAGGUAACACAUUAGUAUCCACCUGGGGAGUACGGCCGCAAGGUUGAAACUCAAAGGAAAUUGACGGGGCCCGCACAAGCAGUGGAAUUAUGUGGUUUAAUUCGAAGCAACGCGAAGAACCUUACCAGGGCUUGACAUCCUCUGACCACCCUAGAGAUAGGGUUUCUCUUCGGAGCAGAAUGACAGGUGGUGCAUUGUUGUCGUCAGCUUCGUUCCUUGGAAGUUUGGGUUAAUCCCGGCACCAGGCGCCAACCCUUAUGUUUUAGUGCUACGCAGGAGCACUCUAGACAGACUGCCGUUGACAAAACGGAGGAAGGUGGGGAUGACGUCAAAUCAUCAUGCCCCGUAUGACCUGGGCCUCACACGUACUACAAUGGCUGCCAACAGAGGGAAGCGGGGCAAAAAAUGCAGAGCAAAUCCCCAAAAGCAGUCUUAGUUCGGAUUGCAGGCUGAAACUCGCCUGCAUAAAAUCGGAAUUGCUAGUAAUCGCAGAUCAGCAUGCUGCGGUGAAUACGUUCCCGGGCCUUGUACACACCGCCCGUCACGCCAUGGGAGUCGGUAACACCCGAAGCCUGUAGCCCAACCGCAAGGAGGACGCAGUCGAAGGUGGGAUUGAUGACUGGGGGAAGUCGUAA